CAGUCGCCGCGGGAAUACAGAGGGUGCGAGCGUUAAUCGGAUUUACUGGGCGUAAAGAGCUCGUAGGCGGUUUGUCGCGUCUGCCGUGAAAGUCCGGGGCUCAACCCCGGAUCUGCGGUGGGUACGGGCAGACUAGAGUGAUGUAGGGGAGACUGGAAUUCCUGGUGUAGCGGUGAAAUGCGCAGAUAUCAGGAGGAACACCGAUGGCGAAGGCAGGUCUCUGGGCAUUAACUGACGCUGAGGAGCGAAAGCAUGGGGAGCGAACAGGAUUAGAUACCCCAGUAGUCCCUGUCUCUUAUAC
RNAcentral lists this ribosomal RNA (301 nucleotides) under uncultured bacterium. RNAcentral describes it as "partial 16S ribosomal RNA". It matches the Rfam family "Bacterial small subunit ribosomal RNA", at positions 509 to 807 of the family's 1533-position model. The record is from RNAcentral.